RNAcentral lists this ribosomal RNA (499 nucleotides) under uncultured bacterium. RNAcentral describes it as "partial 16S ribosomal RNA". It matches the Rfam family "Bacterial small subunit ribosomal RNA", at positions 30 to 523 of the family's 1533-position model. The record is from RNAcentral.
AUUGAACGCUGGCGGCAUGCUUUACACAUGCAAGUCGAACGGUAACAGGGUGCUUGCACCGCUGACGAGUGGCGAACGGGUGAGUAAUGCGUCGGAACGUGCCGAGUAGUGGGGGAUAACGCAGCGAAAGUUGUGCUAAUACCGCAUACGUACUGAGGUAGAAAGUGGGGGACCUUCGGGCCUCACGCUAUUCGAGCGGCCGACGUCUGAUAGCUAGUAGGUGAGGUAAAGGCUCACCUAGGCGACGAUCAGUAGCGGGUGUGAGAGGAUGAUCCGCCACACUGGGACUGAGACACGGCCCAGACUCCUACGGGAGGCAGCAGUGGGGAAUUUUGGACAAUGGGCGAAAGCCUGAUCCAGCCAUGCCGCGUGUCUGAAGAAGGCCUUCGGGUUGUAAAGGACUUUUGUCGGGGAGGAAAUCCCCAGCGUUAAUACCGCUGGGGGAUGACAGUACCUGAAGAAUAAGCACCGGCUAACUACGUGCCAGCCGCCGCAGUAA